RNAcentral lists this long non-coding RNA (363 nucleotides) under Phoenix dactylifera (date palm). RNAcentral's name for it is "long non-coding RNA (PDAC_LNC019555)". The record is from RNAcentral. Lineage: Eukaryota; Viridiplantae; Streptophyta; Magnoliopsida; Arecales; Arecaceae.
AUAGAGAAGUUCCUUUAUGAACAAAUUCUUUUCUUUACCUUGACCAUGAAGUGCCCUGGGAUGACCUUUUUCUGUUCCGCUCUUGCUUGACAUGAUAAACAAUAUUGCCAAGCAUUAUCUCAGUUAUUUAAUUAAUUUUAUGGCCCUUUUUUUAGGAUAAUUACUUUUCUGCACUUCCAUUCAAAAAUAAUAUUAAAUUAAAAAGAUUUCUUGCAUAUCUUUGUUAGAUUCAUGUAUCUUUGUUGAAAUAGUGUACUUGAUAACUAUCCAUUUUCAUAUCAUUUUUUUAAAUAUUUUAUAUUUAUUAAAAAAAUUUAUUAUUAAAAAAAAAGGCCUCAUUUAUUGGAUUCGUCUUAGGCCCCC